RNAcentral lists this long non-coding RNA (1002 nucleotides) under Anas platyrhynchos platyrhynchos (common mallard). Its description in RNAcentral is "lncRNA (ENSAPLG00000017765.1)". The record is from RNAcentral. Lineage: Eukaryota; Metazoa; Chordata; Aves; Anseriformes; Anatidae.
CUGGGCACAGCUCAGGGAAUAACUCAGCAGCAAUAAUAACACUGCCAUUUUGCAGUCAUGUUCAGCUUUUCCAAAAAGGUGGCUUUAUGGAUUCCUUAUUUUUAAUAAGGCACAACAGAGUCGAGCUGUGUUAAACUAUCUCCCUCAAACCCCCAUCGUGUUGGGGGUGUCAGCCUUUCCUUGCUCUUGAAGAUAAUCUGGGAAUGCAGCUGCACCCUUCCUGCAAUGGUGCACACAGCAAAGGAGACAUAGGAGGAAAUCAACUGUAAAUGGCAUCUUCAGUAAUGAAGGAAAAAGCUGGAUAUCCACAAGUCUGUUUCCUAGGCAACUGAAUGGAGGGACAAUCAGGAUCUCUCAAUUGCACCCCAUUAUAGAUAUUUUCUACACAGACCAGUAAAAGGAAGAAGAAGGUGAUUGGAAAAUCUUCAGCAAAAAAUACUCCUGGAGCACUUUGAAAGCAUGGGGGAAGUGAACAGAUAACACACAAAAUGGCUGCCUGCAUGGAGCUCCUGAUUGCAAUCAUCUUCCGAGCAGUGAGAGGGGGGAUGACAGGAAAAUCGCCCAUUUAAACAUUGCAUUCCCAGAGGUCCCAGAUUUCAUUUCCCAGACUUCAGGGAUGAAGCUGCACUGACAAUUAUGUUUCAUACAAAAUAUCUCACAAAUGGACUUUGAUUCAAUGUAGAGAAGGAUUAUUCUGAAAACCUACAUAGUAAAUUCUCUAUCUCUGUUAUACUUUGGCACCUUACCAACCUAAUGGUCCAAGAUUUUUAAUAUGACCUGAUGAACCAGAGCUGUUGUUGAUCCAGUAAUAUCACUUCUCUGAAUAAUUUAUAGAAUGCACAAACUUAGGCAAAUGAAAUAAGCAUACGCUAAGGGAGUUCACUUGUUUCUGUGCUGGGUAAUCUCUUAGUACCAAAAGUAGCAGUAUAUGUUUUAUUCAGGAACAUACUGGGAAAAAAAUAGAUAUACAAGCGCUUAGGGAUAAAAAUAUUACAAGGUAUC